CAGCGCAAAUACUUUGAAUCUGACUAGGCGCUGGUGCUGGGCACUCAGAGCUCGCUAUGAGGUUACAGUGCUCGGAAGCCCUUCAGGAUUAACUCAACUCGGGGCACAGCUGUUUGGAGCCUGCCAGCAAUUAGAAAUCUUUCUCUCUCACAGACAAAUCAUUACUGGAAUUCAUCAUAGAGAUAAAUACUAGCCACUUAGAAGAAGCAUUUGAAUGUUUGAACACUACCAUGAAUCAGUCAUCACUAAGCUAAUGACACACAUCGGGCAGAUUUAGCUGUGUCCUUGUGGACGAGCUUUCUCCUCCUGGGCUGGAUAAGCAUAUGGAAGGGCUGUGAUUCACUAUCCCUGAAGAUCUGAAUCAAUCAUUUAAGUUACAGCAUGUGUGAGGAUCGCCCAGAAAACUGCUGGGAACCUCUCCAGGGAUCUGAAUCACCCAGGAAGGGUUGAGGGUCUACAAAAAGCUCCACGAAUAAGGUGAAUAGGAAGGUGUAUGUCUUUCCAUCCUCAGAAAGCUGCCAGUAAUCAGCCAAUGAAGCAGUUGCACGGGAAACAACUUCAAAAAAACAUUUGUACUGUACAUGUCUGAAUGAUUCAGUCAGAGCCGGGAGGAUCUGUGGCCAGAAGCAUUUCCAGCUUCCUGCAGCUUCACAAUGGAGUGCUUUGGAGGAAGCCAACACUUCACAUAUUUUGGAAAAUACUGUUGCUGUGCUUCAUUCUCAGCCCUUUCCUGAUACCUUAGAAGAAACAUAAACUCUUGGAAACAACAAAUGCUGAAUAUUUAGGAGCCACAGAUAUAAUGUAACCAGCACCUUCUGGCUCUGGACUCCACAGCAUCUGCAGCUCUCCACGUGCCUCCUCCACAGUGGAUGGUACCUUGGAAAUAUGCCCUGAAGACAUGAAUAAUGAAAUAAAGUGAAGACAACGGUAGUUUUGAAGGUACACAUCCUCACUCUCCUUCCUCUCACUAUGAUUCCAAAUGCUGAGAUUCCAGCUGAGCUUCCUCACAGGCCCACGGGUGUUGUCUCUGCAGCCAUAACCAUUCAUCCCUAUUUUAUUCAGAGAUCUCAGAAAAACAGCAUGAGCUGCUCUACAGCAGGACUGAUUCCUGGUGACGACCAACAGAGAACAGGAGCAAAUUUCAACCUUUCAUCUUUAGGGCUGAGAAGUACCAGAGUGAGUUUUCCUCUUUGAACUAAGGGAAUGCAGAACAUUGAUGGUCAAUGCUAAAUGUGAGCAGUGGAAACCAUCGCUCAGAAGGAAGUUUAACUUGAAAAAUGUAGUUCAGGUAAAAGCAAACAGAGGUCAAGUUAUUUUAUGUGGAUAAGUAACGUUAACAGCUGCAAGGAAUUUUUACCUCAUGUGGGAUAGACUCCUGUCUUAAUGCAUAUUGUAAUAAACACAUUAGCAAGCCUUCCACAUGUCAAUUAAUUAUCUUCUGCAACGUUACUGAAAACCCCAAUAAGCAUUUACUGAGAAUUCUUUGAAAUUAACUAGAAAUAUCCUAUGAAAAGAAAAAGAAAAAAGAUAUCACUAACCACACACACACACACACACACACACACACACACAGAGCCACAGUUUAUAAAUUCCAUGAGAAACAGCAUGAACCAAAUUUUUGCACUCUCUUAAGAUGUGAAAACAGAUACUUUCAAGGAAAAGUGACCUUGAAUGCAAAUAAGCGGUCUACUUACUCAAGAUUGGACAUCGGGUACCCAGCUUACAUUUAGAUUUUUUUCUGCAGACUUAGGGAAUGAGCAUGUCUUUGCUUCAUGAAAAGGCUGUAAACAUCAUUCAGUGUCACCAUGCAAGAAAACAUUGUUAUUCAUUUCCUGAUUAUCUGCAUACCCAGCUCUUUCUUGCUUAUGUUGUUAUAGACAUUACUGUCUAUGGAUGAAUGAGAAAGUGUAUCACAUGGAAGGUAGGACUGAUUCCAAUUACAGUGCGAUCCUGUAAUCAUGGACAGAUCAGAAACAAAAUGGGAACCUGCUGCCUCAGGCCUCUAUACUGCCUUGCUUUAAAAAGUGAGGUUUCCUGCUUGCAGAACUUCCUUUGUCUUCCCCAUUUAUUCUUUCUGCCUUGGUGAGAAUAAAA
Meriones unguiculatus (Mongolian gerbil) is the source of this 2094-nucleotide long non-coding RNA. RefSeq lists it as uncharacterized. The transcript is spliced from 6 exons. Lineage: Eukaryota; Metazoa; Chordata; Mammalia; Rodentia; Muridae. The record is from RefSeq and is a predicted model, not a curated record.